AAAAAUGUUUGGUCUCGUGCCAAAUCAACACCUGUGUGCACUAUUGUCUGUAUUUGGUAGUCUAGGAGGGGCGACCCGCAAGGGCCUGCCCAUAUACUCCGUGACCCAGUCAACUUUUAGUUGGUUGGUGUCGGGUUACCGCCAUUUUGAAAAACCUUUUGUUUGUUUUGUUUUUGUCUGAACGUAGAGUUAAUCUUCAUUGAUUAAUGAUUUGAAUA
This 218-nucleotide unclassified non-coding RNA is filed under the name soil metagenome. Its description in RNAcentral is "partial internal transcribed spacer 1". The record is from RNAcentral.